Molecule: ribosomal RNA, 441 nt
Filed under: uncultured bacterium
Lineage: Bacteria
Description: partial 16S ribosomal RNA
Rfam family: Bacterial small subunit ribosomal RNA
Source: RNAcentral
CCUACGGGUGGCAGCAGUGGGGGAUAUUGCACAAUGGGGGGAACCCUGAUGCAGCGACGCCGCGUGGGCGAAGGAGCGUUUCGGCGCGUAAAGCUCUAUCGGCAGGGAAGAAGGAGGACGGUACCUGACUAAGAAGCCCCGGCUAACUACGUGCCAGCAGCCGCGGUAAUACGUAGGGGGCAAGCGUUAUCCGGAUUUCCUGGGUGGAAAGGGGGCGCAGACGGGAGCGCAAGCCAGGAGGGAAAGCUCGGGGCCCAACCCCGGGACUGCUUUUGGAACUGCGCGGCUGGAGUGCAGGAGGGGCGGGCGGAAUUCCUGGUGUAGCGGUGAAAUGCGUAGAUAUUAGGAGGAACACCAGUGGCGAAGGCGGCUUACUGGACUGUAACUGACGUUGAGGCUCGAAAGCGUGGGGAGCAAACAGGAUUAGAUACCCGAGUAGUC